Molecule: long non-coding RNA, 836 nt
Organism: Ornithodoros turicata
Lineage: Eukaryota; Metazoa; Arthropoda; Arachnida; Ixodida; Argasidae
Exons: 3
Source: RefSeq, a predicted model, not a curated record
AACAGCGGCCACAGCAUACGGCACGCAGAUGGAGGGAGUUGCUGCAAAGGAGUUCCAGAGGAAGUUCCCAACAAUAGUGUAUCAGGCUGGGCUCUUGGUGCACCCUGAACAAAGAUGGCUAUGUGCAAGCCCGGAUGGGGUAGUGCGGCUGGCUGAUGGCCUUUAUUUGCUUGAAAUCAAAUGCCCAUUUGGCCGGAAAGGACAGCCAAUCAUUGAUUGCAAAUCUGAAACAAGCUACGUUCAGUACCUACAGUAUGAAGGAAGGAAGCUGGUGCUUAAAAAGUCGCAUCAAUACUAUACACAAGUGCAAAUUGCAAUGUAUGUCAUGAAUGUAACAGAGGCAUUCUUUUUUGUAUAUUCUGAUGCGCAGUCAGUGAAUGUGAUGGUAGAGCGUGACGAUGAUCUGCUUAGUGAACUUGUUCCAAAACUAGAGACAUUCUAUUUUACUCACAUGCUGCCAAGAAUGGCUCCCAGGUCUAAAUGAAUAUGUAAUUAGACCUUAAGUUUUCUGGUUUAAUUUUUUUGGUUAGUCCACGUAUUCUAGUCAGUUCAAUUUCUGUAAGUUGGGACCUGGUGCUCUGUAUGAUAUUUCAAAUCGUGUUGAAGCAAUAAAUGAGAAACAGUGUGACAGCCAUUUUGCAACAGGACACUUUUUUUUAGCAACUGCAUUAGCACUCAACAUAUUUAAUUUUCACACUGGUCCCCAUUGCACUUCAACACAGCAGGCCAAAUGCCAAAAUGAAGUACGCUGAAAUCAUUGCUGCGUCUUGAAAAUGGGUGGCUGAAGAUUUGCAAGUACUGCGCACAUAUGAAAAAUGUCAGUCAUGUAUGGCACA